UAAGCAAAGAUGUCAGCAUUUGCUCACAGAAACUUAAUCAGUCUAUCUCUUAAAUCAGGUUUAAGAUUCACACCGAUCUGAACCAUUUUUUUUGGAUCAUCUUUCAAAAAAAGCCUUUAAGCUUUUCUGCCGAUUCACCUCAGAUUUUUUCGACCUUAUCCAGUGCGUCUGGAUAUCAACUAGCGCAGUUUUCGCUGGUUGGUUUAUUUUAGCAGAAAUCAUAAAAUACUAUCGAGUUAUCGUCUGGUCACCAC
RNAcentral lists this long non-coding RNA (254 nucleotides) under Elaeis guineensis (African oil palm). RNAcentral describes it as "long non-coding RNA (EGUI_LNC010545)". The record is from RNAcentral. Lineage: Eukaryota; Viridiplantae; Streptophyta; Magnoliopsida; Arecales; Arecaceae.